Molecule: ribosomal RNA, 506 nt
Filed under: uncultured bacterium
Lineage: Bacteria
Description: partial 16S ribosomal RNA
Rfam family: Bacterial small subunit ribosomal RNA
Source: RNAcentral
AUUGAACGCUGGCGGCAGGCCUAACACAUGCAAGUCGGACGGUAGCACAGAGGAGCUUGCUCCUCGGGUGACGAGUGGCGGACGGGUGAGUAAUGUCUGGGGAUCUGCCCGAUAGAGGGGGAUAACCACUGGAAACGGUGGCUAAUACCGCAUAACGUCGCAAGACCAAAGAGGGGGACCUUCAGGCCUCUCACUAUCGGAUGAACCCAGAUGGGAUUAGCUAGUAGGCGGGGUAACGGCCCACCUAGGCGACGAUCCCUAGCUGGUCUGAGAGGAUGACCAGCCAGACUGGAACUGAGACACGGUCCAGACUCCUACGGGAGGCAGCAGUGGGGAAUAUUGCACAAUGGGCGCAAGCCUGAUGCAGCCAUGCCGCGUGUAUGAAGAAGGCCUUCGGGUUGUAAAGUACUUUCAGCGGGGAGGAAGGCGAUGUGGUUAAUAACCGCAUUGAUUGACGUUACCCGCAGAAGAAGCACCGGCUAACUCCGUGCCAGCCGCCGCAGUAA